GAUGAACGCUAGCGGCAGGCUUAACACAUGCAAGUCGAGGGGUAACAGGAAUAGCUUGCUAUUCGCUGACGACCGGCGCACGGGUGCGUAACGCGUAUAGAAUCUACCUUUUACUAAGGGAUAGCCUUUAGAAAUGAAGAUUAAUACCUUAUAGUAUUAUAGACUGGCAUCAGUUUAUACUUAAAGAUUUAUUGGUAAAAGAUGACUAUGCGUUCUAUUAGCUAGAUGGUAAGGUAACGGCUUACCAUGGCUACGAUAGAUAGGGGUCCUGAGAGGGAGAUCCCCCACACUGGUACUGAGACACGGACCAG
Molecule: ribosomal RNA, 311 nt
Filed under: uncultured Polaribacter sp.
Lineage: Bacteria; Pseudomonadati; Bacteroidota; Flavobacteriia; Flavobacteriales; Flavobacteriaceae
Description: bacterial SSU rRNA
Rfam family: Bacterial small subunit ribosomal RNA
Source: RNAcentral